RNAcentral lists this ribosomal RNA (497 nucleotides) under uncultured bacterium. Its description in RNAcentral is "partial 16S ribosomal RNA". It matches the Rfam family "Bacterial small subunit ribosomal RNA", at positions 28 to 507 of the family's 1533-position model. The record is from RNAcentral.
GAUGAACGCUGGCGGCGUGCCUAAUACAUGCAAGUCGAGCGAACGGACGAGAAGCUUGCUUCUCUGAUGUUAGCGGCGGACGGGUGAGUAACACGUGGAUAACCUACCUAUAAGACUGGGAUAACUUCGGGAAACCGGAGCUAAUACCGGAUGAUAUUUUGAACCGCAUGGUUCAAAAGUGAAAGACGGUCUUGCUGUCACUUAUAGAUGGAUCCGCGCUGCAUUAGCUAGUUGGUAAGGUAACGGCUUACCAAGGCAACGAUGCAUAGCCGACCUGAGAGGGGGAGCGGCCACACUGGAACUGAGACACGGUCCAGACUCCUACGGGAGGCAGCAGUAGGGAAUCUUCCGCAAUGGGCGAAAGCCUGACGGAGCAACGCCGCGUGAGUGAUGAAGGUCUUCGGAUCGUAAAACUCUGUUAUUAGGGAAGAACAUAUGUGUAAGUAACUGUGCACAUCUUGACGGUACCUAAUCAGAAAGCCCCGGCUAACUACGUG